Molecule: ribosomal RNA, 493 nt
Filed under: uncultured bacterium
Lineage: Bacteria
Description: partial 16S ribosomal RNA
Rfam family: Bacterial small subunit ribosomal RNA
Source: RNAcentral
ACGAACGCUGGCGGCGUGCUUCACACAUGCCAGUCGAACGGUGAAGCGCCUUCCUUUUUGGUGGGUGUGGAUGAGUGGCGAACGGGUGAGUAACACGUGAGUAACCUGCCCCCUUCUUCUGGAUAACCGCAUGAAAGUGUGGCUAAUACGGGAUAUUCUGGGUCUGUCGCAUGAUGGGUCUGGGAAAGACAUUGUUUCGGUGGGGGAUGGGCUCGCGGCCUAUCAGCUUGUUGGUGGGGUGAUGGCCUACCAAGGCGGUGACGGGUAGCCGGCCUGAGAGGGUGGACGGUCACACUGGGACUGAGACACGGCCCAGACUCCUACGGGAGGCAGCAGUGGGGAAUAUGGCACAAUGGGCGCAAGCCUGAUGCAGCGACGCCGCGUGAGGGAUGGAGGCCUUCGGGUUGUGAACCUCUUUCGCCAGUGAAGCAGGCCUGCCUCGUUUGUGGGUGGGUUGACGGUAGCUGGAUAAGAAGCGCCGGCUAACUACGUG